RNAcentral lists this ribosomal RNA (651 nucleotides) under Bacillus sp. KY2. RNAcentral describes it as "bacterial SSU rRNA". It matches the Rfam family "Bacterial small subunit ribosomal RNA", at positions 45 to 683 of the family's 1533-position model. Lineage: Bacteria; Bacillati; Bacillota; Bacilli; Caryophanales; Bacillaceae. The record is from RNAcentral.
UGCUAUACUGCAAGUCGAGCGACUGAUUACAAGCUUGCUUCUAUGACGUUAGCGGCGGCCGGGUGAGUAACACGUGGGCACCUGCCUGUAGUACUGGGAUAACUUCGGGAAGCCCAAGCUAAUACCGGAUAGGAUCUUCUCCUUCAUGGGAGAUGAUUGAAAGAUGGUUUCGGCUAUCACUUACAGAUGGGCCCCCGGUGCAUUAGCUAGUUUGUGAGGUAACGGCUCACCAAGGCAACGAUGCAUAGCCGACCUGACAGGGUGAUCGGCCACACUGGGACUGACACACGGCCCAUACUCCUACGGGAGGCUCCCCACCGGAAUCUUCCGCAAUGGACGAAAGUCUGACGGAGCAACGCCGCGUGAGUGAUGAAGGCUUUCGGGUCGUUGACUCUGUUGUUAGGGAAGAACAAGUAUCACAGUAACUGCUCGGACCUUGACCGUGCCUAACCUGAAAGCCUCGGCUAACUACGUGACAGCUCCCUCUCUAAUACUUACGUAGGAAGCCUUAACCUGGAUUAGUGCUUCUAAUUCCUGCGCAUGCGGUUUCUUGCUCCUGAUGUGGAACCCCACCGCUCAACCUCGGAUGAUCAUUGGACACUGGAGAACUCUCCUGCAGAAGAGAGAAGCGUGCGUCCACGUGUAGCCGUG